This 497-nucleotide ribosomal RNA is filed under the name uncultured bacterium. RNAcentral's name for it is "partial 16S ribosomal RNA". It matches the Rfam family "Bacterial small subunit ribosomal RNA", at positions 28 to 507 of the family's 1533-position model. The record is from RNAcentral.
GAUGAACGCUGGCGGCGUGCCUAAUACGUGCAAGUCGAGCGAACGGACGAGAAGCUUGCUUCUCUGAUGUUAGCGGCGGACGGGUGAGUAACACGUGGAUAACCUACCUAUAAGACUGGGAUAACUUCGGGAAACCGGAGCUAAUACCGGAUAAUAUUUUGAACCGCAUGGUUCAAAAGUGAAAGACGGUCUUGCUGUCACUUAUAGAUGGAUCCGCGCUGCAUUAGCUAGUUGGUAAGGUAACGGCUUACCAAGGCAACGAUGCAUAGCCGACCUGAGAGGGUGAUCGGCCACACGGGAACUGAGACGCGGUCCAGACUCCUACGGGAGGCAGCAGUAGGGAAUCUUCCGCAAUGGGCGAAAGCCUGACGGAGCAACGCCGCGUGAGUGAUGAAGGUCUUCGGAUCGUAAAACUCUGUUAUUAGGGAAGAACAUAUGUGUAAGUAACUGUGCACAUCUUGACGGUACCUAAUCAGAAAGCCACGGCUAACUACGUG